GGAUAUUUAGUUAAAUAUAUUAUUAAUCAAAAUAAAAUCACUAUCAGACAUAUGCAUCCUGUGGGGCACUGAUAAGGGAAACUCCACAACAUACAAAGGUGGUGUAGGAUUACAGCUGGGGCAUGUCUGCCUCUUGGACGUCAGUCCAUAUUUGGUCAAGAGAUUGACUGAAACCAAUAGGAAGGUGGCUCUCAUGUUGACCAGUCACAUGACUAAUUAAGAAAUUGUUUGAAACAAAGUGUGCUAACUUCAAACAAAAGUGUGCUAACUUCAUUUUCAAUUUGGCAUGGCUGUAAGCAGCAAAGUUUUCAGCAGAAACUAUUUUUGAUUUCCCACCCACCUCACCUCUUGUUUAUUGCAUAUUAUUUUGUUUUUCAUGUUUAUAGUUAUGUCUAUGUAGAUAUUGUGUAGUUUUUGAUUGUAAUGAGUACCACA
Molecule: long non-coding RNA, 435 nt
Filed under: Mytilus galloprovincialis (Mediterranean mussel)
Lineage: Eukaryota; Metazoa; Mollusca; Bivalvia; Mytilida; Mytilidae
Source: RNAcentral